GAUGAAGAACGCAGCGAAAUGCGAUACGUAAUGUGAAUUGCAGAAUUCAGUGAAUCAUCGAAUCUUUGAACGCACCUUGCACCCUUUGGACUGCUCCAAAGGGUAUGCUCGUUUGAGUGUCAUUGUACUCUCACACUCUCUGAUCCUUUGGAUUUGGGGAGCAGUGGACUUGGGUGCUUGCUGCUUCCUUGUGGCUCACCUGAAAUGCAUCAGUGCAUCUCUCGAUUGGACAUAGUACGGCGUGAUAAGUGUCUUCGCCGGCACCUCAUAUGAGGGUGGCCGAUCGGGAGCUCUGUGCUUUCAAACCGUCUUCGGACAACGCUGACAACUUGACCUCAAAUCGAGUAGGACUACCCGCUGAACUUAAGCAUAUCAAUAAGCGGAGGA
Molecule: unclassified non-coding RNA, 387 nt
Filed under: soil metagenome
Description: partial contains 5.8S ribosomal RNA, internal transcribed spacer 2, and large subunit ribosomal RNA
Rfam family: 5.8S ribosomal RNA (bases 1-122)
Source: RNAcentral